This 474-nucleotide ribosomal RNA is filed under the name uncultured bacterium. RNAcentral's name for it is "bacterial SSU rRNA". It matches the Rfam family "Bacterial small subunit ribosomal RNA", at positions 372 to 858 of the family's 1533-position model. The record is from RNAcentral.
UGGGCGCAACCGGGAUGCAGCGUCCCCGUGUGGUUUAUGUCGUCAUUCUGGUUGUUGAGUCUUUCAGUGGGAUUUAUUUGUUGUUGUGGUUUUUAUAGAGGAAGGUCCGGCCAACUACGUGUCAACAGACGCGGUAAUAUGUAGGGUCCGAGCGUUUUCUGGAAUUACUGGACGUAAAGAGCUCGUAGGUGGUUUGUCACGUUGUUCGUGAAAACCCACAGCUUAACUGUUGGCGUGCGGGCGAUACGGGCAGACUGGAGUACUGCAGGGGAGACUGGAAUUCCUGGUGUAGCGGUGGAAUGCGCAGAUAUCAGGAGGAACACCGGUGGCGAAGGCGGGUCUCUGGGCAGUAACUGACGCUGAGGAGCGAAAGCGUGGGGAGCGAACAGGAUUAGAUACCCUGGUAGUCCACGCCGUAAACGGUGGGUACUAGGUGUGGGUUUCCUUCCUUGGGAUCCGUGCCGUAGCUAACGC